This is a long non-coding RNA of Canis lupus familiaris (dog), 563 nucleotides long. RefSeq lists it as uncharacterized. NCBI's taxonomy places the organism in Eukaryota, Metazoa, Chordata, Mammalia, Carnivora, Canidae. The record is from RefSeq and is a predicted model, not a curated record. The transcript is spliced from 4 exons.
GUCCAAUGUCUUUUCCAUACAGGAAUCCUUUCUACAAUAUCCCUGAAGGGCUAUUAUCAAAUCUCCACUGGAAUAAUAUCCAUGACAAAGUUGACCACAGCCUUAGGGGAGAGCUCUCGCUGGCUACUUCAACUGACCUUUGGGCCAUAAAUGGGAGUUUCUGCAGCAGUGUGUGACAGGAAGACUUCAGAGAAGUCCCCAAAAGUUCAGUAAACAAAAACAUUUGGAAAAAGAUCUAUGUACCACAGAAGGAAAUCUCCUUAACCAAGGUCUCAUAACUUACAUUCCUGUGGAAUUGGUGUGCCUCACGGCUUCAGCAGUGUCAUGGAAAAAGUGAUGACCUUACAUUCAUAAGUCUCCAGGUCCUAGUCCUGCUACCUACUAUGUGUUUGACCUUGGGGAUGCAGACAGGCUGUGCAGUAAUGAUGAUUGAUGUCUGAUGCACGUCUUAGUGAGGCGGAAGGUGAGGCUGAGGAUCAGCUGCAGCCCACAAGAGAAAUGUGGUAAUUGGUAUUGCUCACUGCACUGCAAGUCACAUCUUCCUGGAAUUAUAGAAGAGACAC